This 72-nucleotide transfer RNA is filed under the name Marmota monax (woodchuck). Its description in RNAcentral is "tRNA.Lys". The record is from RNAcentral. Lineage: Eukaryota; Metazoa; Chordata; Mammalia; Rodentia; Sciuridae.
UGGGGUUGUACCUCAGUGGUAGAACAUGUGCUUUUUAUGCACAGUCCCUGUGUUCAAUCCCCAGCACUGUAA